UUGGGAGAAACUUAGAAAUUCUUCGUGUACCUUUUGACACCCAGCAAUGAACUGCCACGGAUGGCAGUUCAAAUCCCAGACAAGCCACGGACGGCUUGUUUGGGAUGGUUGCGUCACGCUAUCAUCAGCCUUACAAGGUACACAUAGAAUUUCUUAUUUUCGGAC
This 165-nucleotide non-coding RNA is filed under the name uncultured Roseburia sp. Lineage: Bacteria; Bacillati; Bacillota; Clostridia; Lachnospirales; Lachnospiraceae. The record is from RNAcentral.